RNAcentral lists this ribosomal RNA (135 nucleotides) under uncultured eukaryote. RNAcentral describes it as "partial 18S ribosomal RNA". It matches the Rfam family "Eukaryotic small subunit ribosomal RNA", at positions 1299 to 1458 of the family's 1831-position model. The record is from RNAcentral.
UGGUGGAGUGAUUUGUCUGGUUAAUUCCGAUAACGAACGAGACUCUAGCCUAUUAAAUAGUCGGCGGAUGUUUUUGUCCGUUGCACUUCUUAGAGGGACAGAGGGCUUCUAGCCUUACGAAAUUGAGCAAUAACA